UGGAAUUAACAGAUAUGAUCAAUAUCAUUAGAAUGCAUUUUUAUUAAAUUGGCGUAAUUGACAGCAAAAUUAUGACCCACACAACUGUACCUCCAUUAUAUUUCAGUGUUGUAACUGUACUGUGGAACCAUCAAACAUUGAUAAAACAAUGCCAUGAACAGAUAACAACGUGACUUGUCAAACAGUGUCUUGGAUGUGGCUGCUUUCAAUGGGAAAUCUUCAUCUUCUGUGUUCAGAUCAGCAACUAGCGUCUAAUUUCACUGUCAGUGCUUCCUAUUUUCUUCUUCUCCCUCAAAUUUUAUUUAUUUUUCUCUUUCUAUUUUCUCCUCCUUCUGUUUAAGGCACUUUCUGAGAAGGAGCAUGAUGAUAAUUGCCAUAUAUUACUAUUUGUGUAAUUGGGCAACCUCACAUGAACAUCAUAAUUGAACAUCAUAAUUGAGUCUGGUUUCUAUAACUCCCCUCACUGUAGACAGGGUUACUAUGAGAGUCCACAGUACAAGAUGAUGAUGCAACAAAAUAUCUAUUUACCAUAUUAUGUUGACUUUUUUUCACAUACAUAGACUUAAAACUUUAAAUCGUUGAUCUUAAUAUGUAACAUGGUCUAACUGAUACAUUAUUUACGGCACCAAAUACGCUUUAAACAUCAGUAGGACACUGCAGCAGUUCUUUUAGGUAGCAACUGCACCAUUAACUUUUCUGUGCACCACCAACCAGAGAUCUUGUGAUUGUAUCAUCA
This 736-nucleotide long non-coding RNA is filed under the name Phaseolus vulgaris (common bean). RNAcentral's name for it is "long non-coding RNA (PVUL_LNC001461)". Lineage: Eukaryota; Viridiplantae; Streptophyta; Magnoliopsida; Fabales; Fabaceae. The record is from RNAcentral.